CAUUGCAGAGCUCUCACGUUUGAAAUGUUUGUAUUUAAAAGUCAGAUGCAGAGUUACUACAGCAGUGAAUUCCAGAAGAAAGUUGUGCUAUGCCUACCUCACUAUGGUUUUUUUGUACUUUACCACAUUUUUCCUUCAUUUUUUCCCAUGUAUAUUUUGAAACAAGUUCAAAAAAAAAAACCUAUUUUUUUCCCCUUCUCCUUUAACAUUUGUUAAUUACUUCUUUACCCCUCCCUUCUCUUCCUUGCACACCAGCUUUCAGACACUCUUGAAUUCUCUAGUGAUGGAUUCAUCAGAUAGAGUUAAGUUUCACUGAAGAAUAUUCUCUAUUUAUACAGUAAGCCUGCCUGAGAUCAGGAGUCAGCUGAUGACUGAGUGUUUGCCUGAGCCUGCAGUCACCACAGGGGCAUGAAGCAAAGUAUAUCGGAUCGCAACGAGUCAGCAUAACAGGGUUACCUGGCCAGAGAAUUGAGCUCCAGUUGGCUGUGGAGUUCACAAAACUUCAUUUAUGAUAUGGGACACUCAAGAAUUGUCUGUGUAACAAGAUCAGUGUCUGAGCUGCAAUUUCUUCACUCUGUUGUGGAGGCUCGAAGAAAGACAGAUCAGCUGGUCAAGCUUCCACGUCUCUUCUUGUCUUUGAAGACAGUCAUCAUCCUCGACCACUGAAUUUCUGAGAGAAAUGAAUUAUUUGUUCUAUGAAAAAAGGUCAAAACCUUAACUGUCAUAAGAGGUAAUCAAUUUGGCAGUUACUGUGACUUAACACCAGCUUGAGGAACGGUGCUAAAUUAUUUUGGGGAACCAGAAAUUCAUGUGAAUAGACAUAAUAUUUUUAGGUUUUUGGUUCUAAAUUACCACUCAGAUGGGAAGAGACUGGGAAGCUAUCUGAUGAUAAAUGUGAAAGUACGUUCUGGUUGUCAUCUUACUCUCAGUAAAAAAUAAUAUACUGGCAAAAAGAAAACUGCAAACCAACAAGCCCUGCCUCAGAAUUGGUAGUGACUGCCACACAAGGAGAUGGUACAUAGAAGGUGAAGAAAAAAAACCAACAACAAAUGAGAUGUUUCACUUCUUCCUUAGGGAGAUGAACAAGAAUUUGCAGUUCACCUCUCUCUACACUGGGGGAAUGACACAGAAGAAGCACCACUCCUGGUUCCACAGAUGCUGUAACAAGGACUCCGGUGUAUCACUUGGGCAUUUGAUGGGUGUUGUAGAAAGGUAUGUGCUCUGGAAGCUGUACACCUCCAUGGUCAUUCACUGAUAGAAGGUGGUGGGGAGGAAGAAAAGAGGAACAAGCUUUGAUCACUGGCAUCAUGUAAAUUCAAAGGGAAGUAAAUUAAAAUGCAAGAUAACAAAUUGAAGACCCAAGAAGGCUAAUGUGAAGGUAACACUGCGUCAGUCUCUGUUUCCAUUGUCAGAGGGCCAGAUGUGAACUCUUCUGGAAAUCCAGUGAAAGCAGACAUUGAAGUCAUGUGGGAAAUAGCACAAUGUUCCUCUGGCUGCCUUCAAGACGAAGUGACUUCUCUGUACUGGGAGUUGGUGGAAAGCAGGCAUAUAGGGUUCAUAAGUGCAUAAGGAUAUUUCUUUCCUUUAAACACAGAACAUUCUAGGAGACAGGAAAAGUUGACUUCCUCUGGGAACAGUAGGGCAGAAAGAAAAAUCAUCAUGUUUAUUUCUGGGCACUUCCUCCAAGGCUUUGCAGGUGACAGACCCAGUGAAAGCAUCCAUCUCCACUCUGUGCUCAGUAAGCAGAAAAUGAAACAGAAGAGUCAGUGUGACAUUGAGUGAUUUCAAGCUACUUGUAAAGGCAUGCAUUCAACCCGAGGCCAUCAGCUCAGGAGCCCUCACAACAAUAGGGGUAGGUUUUAAUAAAACUGCAGGCAGCAGAAUCCAAAGGGAUCUUGAACAAGACAAAUAACAAACGCAAGCCUUCUAAAGCGCAUGCUGCUCAUCAAGGUACAAAAGUUCCCCAAAGCUCUUUGUCAAGAUUUGAAGUUACUAUGAGUAUUCUUGCCUGCCCUUAAAUGUCUUUAACCCACCUCAGCUCAAGAAACGCCUUCCAAAAAUCUGCAGCAACAGAUUAUAAUUGUUUCUAUUCCUUUUCUGUUUGUUUUUUUUUUUUUCUAGGAUAGCUGGAUUAACUGUAUAAUCCUUUCCCAGUGUCUCGGUUGCCUCAAACAUUUUGCUCAAAACCAUUCAAGGGAGAGUGACAUAUAUGCAAAUCCUGGGGCUGCUGUCACUUUUACCUUGCACAAUUUGAACUGGUACUGCACUGAUGUUGGCAACUUAUAUAUAAAUGUAAAAUAUUUCAGAUGAGACUACCCAAAGCUGCACCAUGGUUGCUCACAACAUUUUGGCAUUGUGGGAAAUCAAAAACCAAAUCCGAGCUUCGCACGAUCCUGUUUCUCUUCCAAGAGUGGAAGAGCUGUAAUGGGAGGUAUGGGGAGUGGCUGAAUCCCUAGUGGGGGAGUAAGCCUCCAACCAGUGUGCAAGAGGCAAGCUCAGAAAUAUGCUGUCAGCAGUCGAGACACAGACUUCAGGUUGGGCCUUGUGCAUCUCUGUUGCAGGUUGUAAACUUCAGCUGCUGGGAUGAUUUUUCCAUUCUCUCUUUUACUGAGUCUGGGAAACAAAAUUCUGUUUUGCAAAAUCUCCUCUGAUUGUCACUUUUUCUUUUGAAUGUAUCUGUUCGGAUAUACUUUCUGCUGCAGCAGAGAUUAAUAGCAAAUUAUAUCUUUGAAGAGAGGAAUUUGAGGGAUUCUGCAGGAAAUUAGAGAAAACAAGAUUGUACAAGCCAGUGCUUUCUUGAGAGGGUGUCCUCACAUAUAUCUAAACAGUAGCUACGUAUGCAAUGAGAUACAAAGCAAAUGGAGAAAAGAAUGUUCUUGUUUCACAACCACUGCACCCUGUAGGUUUCCUCUCAUGUCCCUCAGAAAACAUGUUUAAAGGGAACCAGGAAUACGAUUUUCCCUUUUAUGGCAUAGUCUAUCUAUUAAGAAGGCAAAACGUUCCAACAAAUCUUAAGGUAUACAAAUGUACUGAGGAGAGAUUUGUGUGUCCUUUUCUCAGCAAAAACAACACAAAUGGGCUCUUUUUAACUUACUAAUCUGAAGAACACAGCCUUAUUGUUGAGAUACUGAAAAGUGACCUUGUCCAAAAAAUCUUAUCAUUUUUAGACUUCUCAAGCAAAGACACAGAGAGAUGGUAUAGCACAGGGGCAGCAUUGACUGUGUACCUCUGCAUGUGGUGUAUAUACACUGUCUUUUGAGGAAACUCUUAUUGCUCAUCUAAACAGUGAGCCUUUAGUAAGUCUUCCAGGGAGAAGUUCUUCCCUUACAAAUUUAGGAAAAGUUGGCUAUCCAGUAUAAGCAAGUCAUCUGAGCCCCAUUUGUGACCAGUGGAGAGACCCAAGCAUCUUUAAAAUCAAAUGGUCCUUCCUUUUUGACACAAAUUUCUGAAGUAAGUGGGGUAGAUUUUCCAUUUUGUUGCCUGUUCCCAUUGUCAGUAUGGGGAGCAUAGCAGGAGAAUUACGCAGGGCAGGAUAUUAGGCAAUUGUGUGACAAAACAGUGGAAAAUCCUCUCUUACUAUAUACUCUACUGUGUUUCAUCUAGAAACUAAAGACUUUUGUCACUCUCUCAUCCUUGCUAACAUGGCUUUAAAUAUAACUGUUUCUAACAAUGUUUGUAUUUUUUUUCAAUGUUGGUGUUUUGUUGUGUUUUUUUUUUUUAAGAAGUGUUGUAGGAAAUGCAUAUUUUUGAACAAAUUAACCUUUGAAAGAGCUAAGUUAAGUGACAGUGGGAAUAUAAUCAGAAAAGGCAAGCCUUGUAUCAUACACAGCAGUCAUAACUUCUGCAGUACAGGAUAAACACUGUAGGUGUGUGGCUUAUUUUACUGACAGGUGCAUAUAAGUGCAUGUGUGUAUGUAAGGAGGGAUACACAGGGUGUGGAAGGGUUUGGACUGGAUUGUAGGACAGUGACUUACUUAAAAUAAAGACUUGUAAACUGCCUCAUUAUGCUCUGAUCUAGAACAUACCUCAGAGAGAUCUGUGCCUUUAGCAUCCCCUCAGGUUGGGCAGAGAGUGCUCUGUGCCCUGAGGAGCUCUGGGGUCUUGUGCAGGCUUGCUUCAAAAUUCGUCCUUCCUUCAGGGAGUUUAUGUGCUAACAAGCUUUGAGGAGGACAGCUCGGAUAGAUAGAGUCUGUAGUCUUUUUGUCUAAAAAGGUUUUUUUCCAGCCAGCUACAGUUAAGUUGUAAUUUCUAGUGUGAUUAUCAGCUAAGCCCCAAACACUGGCAUUACAGUAAGAAUCUUAAUGCUUACAUUCCUAAACGCACCAGAAAUAUAUCUUCUUUGCAGUAAGGUUGGGCUACAGUUACUAUGGGAAUGUACUUUUGUGUGCUUUUUUUCUUUGCUUACUCUCUUUGCUAUUACAUUGUACCAAUUAAUUCUUUUGUAUAUCUAAACCCAGUGGGUUAAAUUUUCAGCCUGGAGCAGCUCAGUGUAACUCCAUAAGCAGCAUCACUGUGGUGUUAUUUUACACCACAGAGGACUUCACCUGCUAUGAAAAUGUGAGGAUCGCCAUCUAAAAUUGUUUAAUAAUGCUUGGCAACGUGCCAUAACAGCAUAUAAACCGAAAUGAAGAAAACAGCACAUCAGAUCGAUACCACAGGGAGAAGUAAACUUGGUGGAGUAUCAUUGGCUUACCUAAAUUGGGAUUUGGACAGACCUAUGGCAAUAAUGUAGCUAUCUUUCCUUACUAUGAUCAUUAACAAAUGAUUAAGUGAUCAAUAGUUCUUUACGUAAGCAAAGAUGACUAGUGUAAUUUGUGGCUUUUAAUUUCAAGUAUUUGUGUUUAUUACAUGAACAUCUGUGUGCUAUCCGUUCCUUUCAGAACAGCUCCAAUUUCAAGUUCCAAGUAUAAAAGAAUGAAAUUUAAUAUAAUUGUGGUCAUUUUAUUUUCUUCAAUAAAAGCAAUUGUUGCCUAUAGCUGGUUUCUG
Molecule: long non-coding RNA, 4986 nt
Organism: Numida meleagris (helmeted guineafowl)
Lineage: Eukaryota; Metazoa; Chordata; Aves; Galliformes; Numididae
Exons: 5
Source: RefSeq, a predicted model, not a curated record